GUGUCAGCCGCCGCGGUAAUACGUAGGGAGCAAGCGUUGUUCGGAUUUACUGGGCGUAAAGGGCGCGUAGGCGGCGCGGUAAGUCACUUGUGAAAUCUCUGAGCUUAACUCAGAACGGCCAAGUGAUACUGCAGUGCUAGAGUGCAGAAAGGGCAAUCGGAAUUCUUGGUGUAGCGGUGAAAUGCGUAGAUAUCAAGAGGAACACCUGAGGCGAAGGCGGGUUGCUAGGCUGACACUGACGCUGAGGCGCGAAAGCCAGGGGAGCAAACGGGAUUAGAUACCCCCGUAGUCC
RNAcentral lists this ribosomal RNA (292 nucleotides) under uncultured bacterium. Its description in RNAcentral is "partial 16S ribosomal RNA". It matches the Rfam family "Bacterial small subunit ribosomal RNA", at positions 505 to 796 of the family's 1533-position model. The record is from RNAcentral.